GUGCUCGCUUUGGCAGCACAUAUACUAAAAUUGGAAUGAUACAGAGAAGAGUAGCAUGGCCCUGGUUCAAGCAUUACAUGCAAAUUUGUGAAGUGUUCCCCUUUCUU
Molecule: small nuclear RNA, 107 nt
Filed under: Notamacropus eugenii (tammar wallaby)
Lineage: Eukaryota; Metazoa; Chordata; Mammalia; Diprotodontia; Macropodidae
Source: RNAcentral